Molecule: ribosomal RNA, 492 nt
Filed under: uncultured bacterium
Lineage: Bacteria
Description: partial 16S ribosomal RNA
Rfam family: Bacterial small subunit ribosomal RNA
Source: RNAcentral
AGUGAACGCUGGCGGUAGGCCUAACACAUGCAAGUCGAACGGCAGCACAGUAAGAGCUUGCUCUUACGGGUGGCGAGUGGCGGACGGGUGAGGAAUACAUCGGAAUCUACUUUUUCGUGGGGGAUAACGUAGGGAAACUUACGCUAAUACCGCAUACGACCUACGGGUGAAUGCAGGGGAUCUUCGGACCUUGCGCGAUUGAAUGAGCCGAUGUCGGAUUAGCUAGUUGGCGGGGUAAAGGCCCACCAAGGCGACGAUCCGUAGCUGGUCUGAGAGGAUGAUCAGCCACACUGGAACUGAGACACGGUCCAGACUCCUACGAGAGGCAGCAGUGGGGAAUAUUGGACAAUGGGCGCAAGCCUGAUCCAGCCAUACCGCGUGGGUGAAGAAGGCCUUCGGGUUGUAAAGCCCUUUUGUUGGGAAAGAAAAGCAGCAGGUUAAUACCCCGCUGUUCUGACGGUACCCAAAGAAUAAGCACCGGCUAACUUCGUG